AUACGGAGGGUCCAAGCGUUAUCCGGAUUCAUUGGGUUUAAAGGGUCCGCAGGCGGGAAAAUAAGUCAGUGGUGAAAGCCUACAGCUCAACUGUAGAACUGCCAUUGAAACUGUUUUUCUUGAGUAUAGAUGAAGUGGGCGGAAUAUAUCAUGUAGCGGUGAAAUGCAUAGAUAUGAUAUAGAACACCGAUUGCGAAGGCAGCUCGCUAAACUAUUACUGACGCUCAGGGACGAAAGCGUGGGGAGCGAACAGGAUUAGAAACCCUAGUAGUCC
Molecule: ribosomal RNA, 274 nt
Filed under: uncultured bacterium
Lineage: Bacteria
Description: partial 16S ribosomal RNA
Rfam family: Bacterial small subunit ribosomal RNA
Source: RNAcentral